RNAcentral lists this ribosomal RNA (501 nucleotides) under uncultured bacterium. RNAcentral's name for it is "bacterial SSU rRNA". It matches the Rfam family "Bacterial small subunit ribosomal RNA", at positions 8 to 509 of the family's 1533-position model. The record is from RNAcentral.
AGAGUUUGAUCCUGGCUCAGGAUGAACGCUAGCGGCAGGCCUAAUACAUGCAAGUCGAACGGUAAAUGCCCCUUCGGGGGUAUGAGAGUGGCGCACGGGUGCGUAACGCGUAUGCAACCCACCCGCUGUCGGGGGAUAGCCCGGAGAAAUUCGGAUUAAUACCCCAUGAGGAGUUCUGGAGGCAUCUCCGGGAUUUCAAAACUACGGUGACGGCGGACGGGCAUGCGUGCCAUUAGAUAGUUGGCGGGGUAACGGCCCACCAAGUCGACGAUGGCUAGGGGAUCUGAGAGGACGGUCCCCCACACUGGUACUGAGACACGGACCAGACUCCUACGGGAGGCAGCAGUAAGGGAUAUUGGUCAAUGGGGGAACCCUGAACCAGCCAUGCCGCGUGAGGGAAUAAGGCCCUAUGGGUCGUAAACCUCUUUUGCCGGGGAUAAAGAUGAUUACGUGUAAUCAUUUGAAGGUACCCGGAGAAUAAGCAUCGGCUAACUCCGUGCC